This 400-nucleotide ribosomal RNA is filed under the name uncultured bacterium. RNAcentral's name for it is "bacterial SSU rRNA". It matches the Rfam family "Bacterial small subunit ribosomal RNA", at positions 28 to 418 of the family's 1533-position model. The record is from RNAcentral.
GACGAACGCUGGCGGCGUGCCUAACACAUGCAAGUCGAGCGGAGGAUUCGAGAUGUUUACAUCGAAGGAUCCUUAGCGGCGGACGGGUGAGUAACACGUGGGUAACCUGCCUCAGAGUGGGGGAUAGCCUUUCGAAAGGAAGAUUAAUACCGCAUAAGAUUGUAGCGUCACAUGGCGCAGCAAGAAAAGGAGCAAUCCGCUUUGAGAUGGACCCGCGGCGCAUUAGCUAGUUGGUGAGGUAACGGCUCACCAAGGCCACGAUGCGUAGCCGACCUGAGAGGGUGAUCGGCCACAUUGGAACUGAGACACGGUCCAGACUCCUACGGGAGGCAGCAGUGGGGAAUAUUGCACAAUGGGCGAAAGCCUGAUGCAGCAACGCCGCGUGAGUGAUGAAGGCCUU